This 700-nucleotide long non-coding RNA is filed under the name Setaria viridis. RNAcentral's name for it is "long non-coding RNA (SVIR_LNC000614)". The record is from RNAcentral. Lineage: Eukaryota; Viridiplantae; Streptophyta; Magnoliopsida; Poales; Poaceae.
UUUACACAAGGUGGCUAGCGGCGUGGUGAGAGUUUACACAAGGUGGCUAGCGGGGCAAGUCAAGUAAUGUGGUGGCUCGACUUGUUGUUUGGGUAAUGGUGGAUGGGAUAGUGGCAGAAACAAACAAACAACAACGGCGCGAUUGAACUACGACCACGAAUCAUAACCUAAAUCAGCAACAAGACUUGACCACAAACACGAACUCAACAAAGCGAAUCUGAAACGAAAAUUGCAAAGGCUAAAAAGGUGAUAGGAUAGCGGAAAGUGUAAAUAUUUCUGCGCUUUUUUGUGGACUAUAGGUGAUGAACACGAACUGAAUCUAAAGGGGAAACAUGAUAGUAUACCUCACGGCUAACCUGGAAUCCUUAUACCACUUGAUGUAGCACUGGCCUGAUCUUCCGAUAGGUAUAGAUAAACUCGAUUUGGUGGAGACUCGACAUUGACGAUACGGCUUCAAAUUAAACACGAUCCGAACCGUGCAACCGCUACACCGCUGCUCCGUUGGUUAUCAACCAAGCACAACUUGAUUGACCUCGCCGAAAAGGCUUUCCUUGCAAGUGAAUCGAAGAACACAAGCAAGAGAACGGUAAACACGCAAUAUGAAAUUGCAAAUAUGGAUGAAGCAAAGAUUAAUAUGGGGUUCAAGCUCUCGAUUCGAAUGGACUAAUCGUCAUAGGCGAGGAGAACAAAAACAGGGGCC